RNAcentral lists this ribosomal RNA (484 nucleotides) under uncultured bacterium. RNAcentral describes it as "partial 16S ribosomal RNA". It matches the Rfam family "Bacterial small subunit ribosomal RNA", at positions 30 to 507 of the family's 1533-position model. The record is from RNAcentral.
AUUGAACGCUGGCGGCAGGCCUAACACAUGCAAGUCGAGCGGAUGAAGGGAGCUUGCUCCUGGAUUCAGCGGCGGACGGGUGAGUAAUGCCUAGGAAUCUGCCUGGUAGUGGGGGAUAACGUCCGGAAACGGGCGCUAAUACCGCAUACGUCCUGAGGGAGAAGGUGGGGGAUCUUCGGACCUCACGCUAUCAGAUGAGCCUAGGUCGGAUUAGCUAGUUGGUGGGGUAAAGGCCUACCAAGGCGACGAUCCGUAACUGGUCUGAGAGGAUGAUAAGUCACACUGGAACUGAGACACGGACCAGACUCCUACGGGAGGCAGCAGUGGGGAAUAUUGGACAAUGGGCGAAAGCCUGAUCCAGCCAUGCCGCGUGUGUGAAGAAGGUCUUCGGAUUGUAAAGCACGUUAAGUUGGGAGGAAGGGCAGUAAGUUAAUACCUUGCUGUUUUGACGUUACCAACAGAAUAAGCACCGGCUAACUUCGUG